AAACUCCAUUAACACUUGGAGCGACAGAUGGAGGGGGUCUCAGGAGGACUCAAACUGGAGUUCAUCAAAAGGUCUGUUAUGCAUGUAUGCAAAAACAGCCACACACAUAGAACAGGCACCUGUAUGAAUACAUGCAAACACAUAUGCCACCACAUUGCCCUCAGAUUUGCCUUCUGUACUGUCGUGGACAUCUGCUGCUACUGACCGGCUUUUGUUGUCUCUGCCAGAUUUCCUGUGCUGGCAGCCAUCUUUGAAUGAAGCGAGUUUACACACCGAACUGUUUCCACUGGCAUUAAAUAUCUACAGUGAUUUUAGUUUUGGUGGUAAAUGCAUUAUUACAGACGGAUUUCUUUUUUUUCUAUAUUGUAACCCAGUUAGACGGGAAUUGCAGAUCAGUUUGCUGCUUUAGGCCCAAUUCAAUCCAGAUCCAGAUCUUUCAAUACCCAGAGAAGGUUCCUGGUCUUAAAUCCCGGUUAACACCAAAGUUUGGCCCAGACUAUGAAGCAACAGCCCAAUAAUACACCCAUGACUGUGGUACCAUGCUGUAAAUGGGCUGAAAUCAUGCAAUCCGACCUCAGCUUUAGGAUGGCCAUUUGUUGAACUAUGGAGAUGUUGUUUCCAGACUUUUUUAAAGCUAGCUGAAGGUGUGCCCCAGGGGCAAUUAUUGAUUUAUAUUUGUUUUUAAUAUUGUUAUUUUUUUUUAUUGUUUUUAAAUAUUUUUUUAUUCUGAAUGUAUGAAUUACUAUUUAUGUAUGUAUUAUUUUUUUAUGAUUAUAUAUUUUUUAUUUAUUUCUUAAUUAUUUUAUUUUAUACUUAUUAUUUUAUUUGAUACUUAUCAUUUAUUUAAAUUUUGUAUUUAUUUUUAUUUUUAUAUUAAUUUUAUAAUCAUAUAUAUUUUUUAAUUAUCUUAUUUUAUACUUGUUAUUUAUUUUUAUUUUGUAUUUAUUUUUAUUUUUAAUUAUUUUUUAAUUAUUAUUUUUUAUUAUUAAUAUUUGAUUUAUUAUUAUUAUUAGGACCUUCUAUUUUCCUGUUUCAUGACAUCAGAGUAUGUACAAUUAUAUUAAGAGGGGUGAAUUUUGGAAAUAUUCUCUUCGAGAAUAUAGUCAAAUUGUCAAAAAUAAUGCUUAAACCAAAUUUCAGAAUUACGUUAAGAUGUUGAGACACAAAGUUGAAGGUAAAUUUUAAAAAGAGUUAUUAAAACACCAAACUGAAAUCGUGUUUGCUUUUAUUUUUAACAGAGACUUUUUAACUAAGACCGCCACACUUUUUAGGUGUACCUCUGGGCUCCACUUUGGUGCCUCUGUGCUUUUCUUUUUUAUAUUAUGGCUUUGAAUAAACAAUGGAGCAAAAACAAAUGAAUAUGCAGAUGACACCGGGGUUUAUGAGCGUGCUCUCUGCAAGAACCCCUGAUGCAUUUGUCAAAGCCCCGGUGAGAUUUAGUGAGCUUUAAGGUUCUGAAAGGUAGCUAACGGUCUUCAAGGUGGAUCCAAAGACCAUCACGUUUGUGUCCGUCUUACUGAUCUAACAAUAAACGGUGUUGUAGGUGAAUGUGCUAAAAUAAACACACUUAUUUUUGAGGGUUAGAAAACUACAGAAGUCCUGAAGUUUGCUGUUUCCCUCCUUUUUCAGACAGAUUUGUUCUGAGAAACUGGAACAGGAGAUGACCGUUAUCAGAAGCGACUCCACACCCUGCAUGAUUUAUCCCCCUCACUUUAUCACUCCUGUGACUGGAAGGAAACAGUUAUUUGUUGGUUUUGAUGGCUGACAUUUCUGAACUCUUUACUUGAUGCUGUUUCUGAUUAACCCUGGAGGCGACAUCAAUCAGGAAUCUGCACUUUCUCCUCACCACCAGGAGCCACAUGCCUCCUCACUUAUCACUCGUUUUCUGGUUUUCUCUCCACGCUCCUGUUCUGUGUUUCUGACUUUAAAUUCCUGACAACCUGUAAUCAUCACUGUCAGGUACAGAAUGUCAUCUCCCUCACACCGCAUCCACACACACACACACACACACGCGCACACGCGCGCGCGCUCACACACACACACACACACACACACACACACACACACACACACACACACACACACACAGGUUCACUCAGUGUGAGACAGAGCAGGGGCCCAGGUGUCAGCUUGGAGAAAUGGCAGCCAUCACUUUGAUAACACAGCUCGGUGAGACACAAUCCUUGUCUGCUCCCUCCCCCCUCUCUCUUUCUCUGAGUCUCUUUGUAGAAACUUACUUUUUCUGUUGCUCCUUUGCUGCCUCUAUUUUUAAGAGAGAAGAAGAAGAAUGAGGACACGGCAACGCUUUGUCACCUCUGAAAGAGAAAAGCUGACAGAUUUCACUGCUCUCCAGUCAACAAAGUGAAAGUGAUUACUGCUCCAGCACACCAGUUUCCCAAGUCUACCUCAGGGAGAGGAAGUUUACCAACAGCCAUCCGUAAAACUAACUUUUCCUUCAUUUCUAAUGAAUCUGGACUUUGUGUCAUUUGACCCCAGUGACUAAUGAGGUGAAUGUCAAACAGGUAAGUCACAUGACUGGGUCUAAAAAUGACGUUCAGAAGGAAAGAUGAGAGAGGUUCACCACUCUGUGAGAGACUGUGUGAACUAACAGUUCAUCAGUUUCAGAAUAAUGUUACUGAGUGUCAAAGAAUUUGUGGAUUUAAUAAUCUACAGUACAUAAUAUGAGACAUGACGGAUAUGAGAAAUGACAAGGAGACAUUAAAAUAUGAGACAUAACAAAUGAGACAUGACAAAAAUGGGACAUGAUGAAUCAGACAAGACAAAUAUGAGACAUAACAAAAAUGACAAAUGGCAAAUAUACAACAUGACAAAAAUAAGACAUGACAAAUAUGAGACAUAACAAGAGACAAAAAUAAGACAUGACAAACAUGAGACAUGACAAAUGAGACAUGGCAAAUGAGACAAGACAAAUUUGAGACAUGACAAAAAUGACACAUGGCAGAUAGACAUGACAAAUAUGACACAUGACAAAAAUAACACAUGACACUCAGACAUGGCAAAUGCAACAUGACAAAAAUAACAUAUGAAAAAAGAGAAAUGCCAAAUAUGAGACAUGACAAAUGAGACAUGAAAAAUAUGAGACAUGAAAAAUAUGAGACAUGACAAAACAAAGACGUUAAAAAAUGAAGACAUAACAAAUGGGACAUGACAAAUAUGAGGAAUGCCAAAUAUGAGACAUGACAAAUAUGACAUGAAAAAUAUGAGACAUGACAAAUAAGACAUGACAAAGAUAAAAAAUAUGAGAAAUGACAAGGUACACGACAAAUAUGAGACAUGACAAAUGAGACAUGACAAAUAUGAGAUGAUCAAAAUGACACAUGGCAGAUGAGAUAUGACAAAUUUGAGACAUGACAAAAAUGAAUCAUGACAUUGAGACAUGACAAAUGAGACAUGACAAAUGAGACAUGACAAAUAUGAGACAUGACAAAAAUGCAACAUGACAAAUAUGAGUCAUGACAAAAGAGACUACAGACAAUUGAUUAUAAAGUUCUUGUUCUUAUUCUUGAUUUCAUUUAAAGGUUCAGAGGAUCUGAAGAAAUGGCCUGUCUCAAUGGCCUGUCAGACUCCAGAACCUGGUUUACUGGGUUCACUAAAGUCUACAGAGUCCCUUUCUUUUUGGAGUUGGGGUCGUAAAUGUGGACUAAUUUUUCUGCAGCACUUCACUCUAUAAGAAAAAAUAUCAACAUGUGCAGCAGAAAACAGGCGCCUCAGUCUGGGUCUUGUGAGUCCUGUGAGAAAAAGUGUGCUGUCAGCAGAGAUGCCUUUGGAAACACCAGAACAUAUGUACUGCCUGAAAACACACAUUUAGUACGAAGCAGGGCCUCUCAGUGUCCAUCAGUCAAAUUCAGUUUGAGUUAAAAUGUGAGAAGAAAAACUGAUGGUCUGUGAGUUUAAAGCCGAGAGUUUUGCUGAGCGUAAAUCUUCUCGACUGUUUUUCUUUGAGUCCACAGACCUGAGUGCUUCUGUCUGCUGCUGUGAAGAUAAUAUGUAGAAACUGCAACACUGCAUCUCAGCAGGAGAGUAAAUACUGCUGAUACACCAGACUCAAGAAGGCUGGAGGUAAAGACUAAUUCAUGUCUGAAAGUCAUCAUCAGGAGACAAGAGUGAUGGGAGAACAUCUCUCAUCUUCAGCUGGUUCAGACUUCUUCAUUAGUCCAUCUAGAGAAGUGUUUUUCAACCUUUUUUGCGCCACGGCACAUUUUCUACAUUGACAAAAUCCUGGGGCACACCACCAACCAAAAUAACAGUCUGUAGCCGAACACAGUAUAUGUAUUAGAACGUAGGAAUGCACCAAAAAUGAGGAAACCAAGGCCGAAAACCGAAAGAAAUUAUUUUGCCAAUUAUUAGUACCAUUGUAUUUAUGGCUAUGACUGUGUACUAAUUGCACUAGAAUCAAGGCUUUGCAAUUGUACAAAUUAUUAUAAUAUUAAUUUAUGCCACUGCAAUGAGAGUUUGGAGUUUUGGAGUCAGCAUGUUGCUGCAUGUUCUUAGUGGUUUACACCUUUAGAUGGCGCCCGUGAGUCAAAACAACAAAUGUUUCGGCUGAAAUCCGAAAUGCACUUUUGAGCCAUUUUUGGUGGCUGAAUUUUUGGUGCAUCCCUAGAAUAUACUUAGUGAUAUGGUUUCUAAAUGUAUUAAUAUUUACUCAGUGUGAACCCUGGACGCGAAUUUUUUUUUUUGGUAGGAUGGUAGGGGAAUGUCCCUCCCUCCUUCACCUCUGAUUGGCUAGAAGUGCUGGGCUCCGAUUGGUUAUUCCUUAUGACUGUGAAACGUCAUCGUCUGCUGGGUUAGGGUUAGGAGAUUCAGAAGUGUGAUAAUGUUCUCUAAUGUUCUGUUUGAUGUACAGAGCUGACUGCCCGCGUUUGACUUGAGCAUGUGAUGACGUUUCCAGCUUUUCUAGCCAAUCAGAGGCGAUGGAGGCUGGACUUUCCCCUACCAUCCUACAAAAAAAAAAAAAAAAUGCACCUUGACCCUGUUGAGAUGAACACAAAGCUGAUAUCCUGGCAGGAAUGGAAGAAAGACUCACACUAAGCUCUUCCUCAACAGCUCCCAGUCUCUCUAUAGUUUUUGUAUUUUUCACAAGCAAUUAGCCGUCUGCUGCCACCUACUGGCAUAGAAUAGUAUUACUCUGACGCUCACUUUUUUACAGCACAGACACUCAACAAUAGCUAUUAUUUUCAAAUUCAAUAAUAUCCCACAGCACACCUGACGACCUCUCACAGUACACAGGUUAAAAAUUACUGAUUUAGAGCUCAGGUCUACAGCAGCAUGAGAAGGACUUUAACAUCUCACUCCCCCUCAUCCUCCUGCAGGUUUCAUGAGUGAAAAAUCAAGUGAAAGCAUUCAUGGUCCUGAAGAUGAUCGGGUCCAAAGGUUAUCUCCUGAGCUGUUUUGUUUUCUCAUCCAUCUCUGACUUCAUGAAUCUUCAUUCUUCUCCUCAUUAAUCAGCAGGUUUCACUCUGACAGCUGUUCCUCUCUGCAGCUGUCGGAAAUCUGUUUUUCAUUUUCUGCAUAUCGAUCGUGCUCUCUCUCCCUCUGUUCUGCUGUCGCUCGCCCCGUGUUUCAACAGUUUGCCAUCGUCCCCCGGGAGACGGUGUAACACGCACAGCUGAUGUGACGGACAGAUGUCUCCUCCGGCAGCUGGGGCACCGCGUGAGAGCGAGAUGUAAAUGUGGGUAAGUGGAGCGCCUGUUAAUGACAGAGCGUGUUCUUCAAACACAGAUGUACGCAGGAGGAAAACAAGCCCACCUGCUCUACAGUCACUUCACCACCACACAGACAUGAACCAUCAUAAAAAGACGCCUCAUUAAAACUCCUGCAGACCUGAGGGCUCUCACAGGAUCAGGACUAGAGCAGAGCUGUAGGAGGACCAUGAGGAACAAAAACUCAGACUAUCUCAGACUGGGUUUAUGGCUGUUAGCAUCUCCACUCUCUACCGCUCAGAGCUGCCCUGUGCACCCUAAUCCUGACAGAGUCUCAGAGUAUGUGAGGAGCUGGAUGGAGAGGUUAUUAUUAUUAUUUUUAUCAUAUUAUGACAGAUGUGACGUAGGGGCUAGGUCUAUACUUUAUCCUACUGAGAUGCUUGACCCAGAGUAACCUGGGUCAAAAAUUUAUCGGGAUGAACUUUACCAAAGUCCAUUUGCAAUUCCCAUCAAACAACACCGAGUAAACAAAGAAAAUGCUGCCAUUAAGCACCACAGUGAUCAAAAACAUUUUUGCCCUCCCGGGUCAAUCACUUUCCAACAACAGUCAGUACGUUUACAUACACAGUAUAAUCGGACUAAGCUAAUAAUUCGUUUUUUUUUUUUUUCGCUGAAUCGGACUUCUCUUCUUGUACAUGCAGCAGAGAAAAUUGAAUUAUUGACGUGAACGUGCCCUGCUCCCCAAAACUAGGGGGCGAUAUGGGUCUUCACAGAAGCGCUGUUUCCGGAACUUUUUAAAAUAUGUCUCCGUUCCUCGUUUUGCAACCGUCCAAAUACUUUAAAAUGUCAAUUUCUGUCACGACGGAAAGCAUAAUGGCGCUCUCCUCGUCGUUCCAAAAGUGGACGUUCUUUUGUGCUUUAGCUGUGUUGCUUCUGAGUUUAAAGUUCUUUAAAUGAUAGCGCCGCUUCUUCUCUGGUGUUUCUGUUCCGGGGUUACGAAGGUGUGGCGCACACACACAUACAUUGUCUGAUCAUUCUCUGACUACGCUGCUUACAUGGUAGAGAAAAUCGAAUUCCAAUCACAUUAUCUGGGUGUCUCAAUUCGAGUUCUCAAACUCUGAUUAUAGUCGGACUAAGGUGUUUACAUGCACUUCAGUUGUCCGGUCUUAAUCAAAGUAAGGCGAUAAUACGGUUUUCUCAAGUGUCAUGGAAACGUACUGAUUGACAUAGCUACCUUUAUUCCUCAGCCCCAGAUAACAGGACAGCGACACUUACAGCACACAAAGUGAACUGCAGCUUAUUCUAGGUUAUAACUUCAAUAUCUUUGGCUCCGACAUGUGACAAAUUUUACAGACAGCCUAGUUUUACUCCUCAUUAUAGAAGUUGUCGUUUUCUUCCGCUUCAUCCAGGCAGCAGCUUCAGGAGGGAAGCCCAGACGGCCCUCACCCCAGCCACUUCUACCAGCUCCUCCAGGGGGGAUUCCCAGGCGCUCCCAGGCCAGGCGAGAGAUAUAAUCCCUCCACCUGGUCCUGGGCUGGCCACGAGGUCUCCUCCCGGUGGGACAUGUCCAGAACACCUCUAACGGGAGGCGUCCAGAAGACAUCCUAACCAGAGCCACCUCAGCUGACUCCUCUCAACGUGGAGGAGCAGCAGUUCUACUCUGAGCGCCUCCCGAGUGUCUGAGCUCCUUGCCCUAUCUCUAAGGCUGAGCCCGUCCAACCUGGGGAGGAAUCCCAUUUCGGCCGCUUGUAUCUGCUUUCUUGUUCUUUCGGUCAUUACCCAAAGUUCAUGAACAUAGGUGAGGAUCGGCACAUAGAUCGACCGGUAAAUCGAGAAUCUCACCUUACGGCUCAGCUCUUUCUUCA
Non-coding RNA from Xyrichtys novacula (pearly razorfish), 7528 nucleotides. Lineage: Eukaryota; Metazoa; Chordata; Actinopteri; Labriformes; Labridae. The record is from the annotation of a GenBank genome assembly.